UAUCAAGCAGGCAAGUCUAGCUAGCCAAUAUUAAAAGAGCCUGACCGAAAGUGAAGUGUUUUGAUACCGGUGGUGUUAGAGUGAAGAAACCAGUGUUUCGAUUAUUAGAGAUGUCUUCCUGCAGACCACCUCUUAAUAUGUGCAUGCUGAGGGGCGAAAUGGAGUAGAGCGUAUGUUUGCUAGAGAUCGGCCUUUCUAUUCUUAGCCUACAUCGAUGGCUGUGCUCUUUGUGUCGUGUGAUCUAUUGGCUAAGGGUUCCACUAAGGCUAGUGAGAAGUCUGGCGCGGAGAAUAAAAUGUGGUUCGAGGCCAUCGUCUGUCCGGACAGAUCUUCGCUCUGCUGCCGCCGGGGGAUACUCGUAGACACUGACGUCACACAACACCACAAUUAUGUCUAACCUUAGUCAGUAAGCCGACGAUAGAUCGUAAGUACAAACCCUAAUAAAUUAUCACCUACUCAUUGCUGCAUGUAAAACUGAUGCUUUUGUGUUGUGACGGGAUGGUUCGAGUAUAUCACAUCGUUAAGGUUCUUUCCAUACGAACCACUUAGAGGAGUUGGUAAGUGAAUCGCAGCUCCCAUUUCAUACCGUAU
This is a long non-coding RNA of Armigeres subalbatus, 591 nucleotides long. RefSeq lists it as uncharacterized. The transcript is spliced from 3 exons. NCBI's taxonomy places the organism in Eukaryota, Metazoa, Arthropoda, Insecta, Diptera, Culicidae. The record is from RefSeq and is a predicted model, not a curated record.